Molecule: ribosomal RNA, 484 nt
Filed under: uncultured bacterium
Lineage: Bacteria
Description: partial 16S ribosomal RNA
Rfam family: Bacterial small subunit ribosomal RNA
Source: RNAcentral
GACGAACGCUGGCGGCGUGCUUAACACAUGCAAGUCGAACGAUGAAGCCGGAGCUUGCUCUGGUGAAUUAGUGGCGAACGGGUGAGUAACACGUGAGUAACCUGCCCUUGACUCUGGGAUAACUGCUAGAAAUGGUAGCUAAUACCGGAUACGACCCUCGGAGGCAUCUUCAGGGGGUGGAAAGAAUUUCGGUCAAGGAUGGACUCGCGGCCUAUCAGCUAGUUGGUGAGGUAAUGGCUCACCAAGGCGACGACGGGUAGCCGGCCUGAGAGGGUGACCGGCCACACGAGGACUGAGACACGGCGCAGACUCCUACGGGAGGCAGCAGUGGGGAAUAUUGCACAAUGGGCGCAAGCCUGAUGCAGCAGCGCCGCGUGAGGGAUGACGGCCUUCGGGUUGUAAACCUCUUUUAGUAGGGAAGAAGCGAAAGUGACGGUACCUGCAGAAAAAGCACCGGCUAACUACGUGCCAGCCGCCGCUGUAA